CUGAAACAAAAGAUAGUUAUUUUUAUGAGUUUUUAUGAAUCAAAAUGAUGAACAGAAAGAAAACUAAAUGAUAAAUGAAGAACAGAAACAAAUAAGACUUUUUAUGGGUUUUUUUAUAUUGAAUGGAAAAUCUAGAACUAUAUGAUGCAAAAUGAAACAAAAUAAGAGAAGGAUAGAGAUGGCUGAUGGAUUCAAGUUGCUGGACUGAUGUCUCUCUCAACAAGAACAGGGGAUGGAGAUGGCGUGAAGGUGGGAUCUUGCUUGCUGGACUGAUGUCUCUCUCAAGCCGGAUCAAGGGAUGGAUUGAAGUGGAUUUGCGGAUGAUGUUUUUGAUUGAAUCUCUCAAUCUGAUGAAGGAUGGAUCGAAUUGAUUGACUCUCUCAAUCUGUGUACUGAGCUUGUUUGAUU
RNAcentral lists this long non-coding RNA (408 nucleotides) under Brassica napus (rape). Its description in RNAcentral is "long non-coding RNA (BNAP_LNC005894)". Lineage: Eukaryota; Viridiplantae; Streptophyta; Magnoliopsida; Brassicales; Brassicaceae. The record is from RNAcentral.